Long non-coding RNA from Silurus meridionalis, 351 nucleotides. RefSeq lists it as uncharacterized. The record is from RefSeq and is a predicted model, not a curated record. The transcript has 3 exons. NCBI's taxonomy places the organism in Eukaryota, Metazoa, Chordata, Actinopteri, Siluriformes, Siluridae.
AUUGAUUGUCCUAUUAUUGGGCAAGGGGGAUGUAUAAAUUUGGCUGGGGAGCAUUUUGUUGUCACGGGUGCUACGCCCCUGUCUGCGUCAUCACGAGUCGCCAGUCAGAGCUGUCUGUUUGGGUAAACCUUGCGGCUGGUGUUGGGUUGACGUGUUUCCUCGCGGCAGUGUAUAGUCCGAGGUGAGCCGAAGAGAGAGAGCGGCGUUAAUAAUACCGACAGUGCCUGCCUUUACACAUUGUACUAUGGUGUGGUAGAGCUAUUAAAUCGAGUGAGCCUACGGGUGCACAGAAGUGCUGUGUACGCGAUUUCUGGGAAGACCCCACACACGAUCUACGGAACGAGCCUGCAG